This 74-nucleotide transfer RNA is filed under the name Actinomycetes bacterium. RNAcentral's name for it is "Actinobacteria bacterium (groundwater metagenome) tRNA-Ala". It matches the Rfam family "tRNA". Rfam says of the family: Transfer RNA (tRNA) molecules are approximately 80 nucleotides in length. Their secondary structure includes four short double-helical elements and three loops (D, anti-codon, and T loops). Further hydrogen bonds mediate the characteristic L-shaped molecular structure. tRNAs have two regions of fundamental functional importance: the anti-codon, which is responsible for specific mRNA codon recognition, and the 3' end, to which the tRNAs corresponding amino acid is attached (by aminoacyl-tRNA synthetases). tRNAs cope with the degeneracy of the genetic code in two manners: having more than one tRNA (with a specific anti-codon) for a particular amino acid; and 'wobble' base-pairing, i.e. permitting non-standard base-pairing at the 3rd anti-codon position. Lineage: Bacteria; Bacillati; Actinomycetota; Actinomycetes. RNAcentral also lists the same sequence under 2 other names. The record is from RNAcentral.
GGGGCCGUGGUCCAAUGGGAAGAUGCGUCCUUCGCGCGGACGAGAUGGGGGUUCGAUUCCCCCCGGCUCCACCA